UGUCAUAUACUUUUAGUUUACUAUAUCAAUAGUCUGAAGGUCAUUGUAACGUAUUAGACAAGAAUCUAUACUCAAUUUGUUUUUAGUUUGAGUUAGUUCCAUGUAAACCUCGAAGCUGUGAAGAAGUAUAAGUAAGUGAGAAGUUACGCGUGCAUUCUUGUGAUAUUCUUUUAAAAUCAAAGUGAAUAUUUGCUGAUUCUUCUAAUAUGGAUAGAAAAGGUUCGAGGAAAAGUCCUCAUCGUCCAGGCAAACCAAGAAAACGGAAGUUCAGCGGUAAUCAACAUACUUUGGAAGAAGAUUUAUCUUUUACUAGUGCAUCAGCUGCAAAGUUGAAGAGUUCAAAUGACGAUGAAAUUCUCAUUGACUAUAAUUUUGGUUAUUGUAUAUUGGAAUUCUGUUCUGUUUUUUCAUCUCUUGCACUAAUGAUAAUAUGUGCUACAUGUAAGCAAAAAAUGUAAUUUUCUCGGACAGCUGCACGAGGACUAGGAUUUAAAAUUGGAGUACAAUGUGGCUGCAAAGAUACAUGUUAUAUUGAGUCAUGCCCAUUUGUAAAUAAAGCAUUUGAAAUAAAUCGUCGGAUCGUUACUGCUAUGAGGCUCAUCGGAGUUGGGAGAGAAGGUAUCAAUAUAUUCUGUAGUAUUAUGGAUAUUGGACACGGUUUGGCUAUUGGUACAUACUAUAAUUGUCUUGAUAAUUUAAAUUUGGCUGCGUCAACUAUUUAUAACUUGAUAAUUUCUAAAGCUGUGAAAGAAGAGAAUGAAUUAAUUACAGCCUCAGAUUCGAAUGCGGACCCUACACAUUUUACAGUUUCCAGCGAUGGAACGUGGAAGAAGAGAGGGUUCAAUUCACUUUUUGGAGUCACUACACUUGUAGGUAAAUACAGUAAGAAAGUUAUAGACACAGUCGUGAAGUCCAGUUUUUGCCAAGGGUGCAAUUAUUGGAAGAAUAAAAAAAAAGACGACAUCAGUACUUAUGAAGACUGGUAUAACGAACACGAAGAUUCUUGCGCAAUAAAUCAUCAAGGAAGUGCUGGGAAGAUGGAAGUUGACGCAGUGGUGGAAAUGUUUAGUAGAUCCGAAGAAAAGCAUGGAGUAAAAUAUGUGAAGUAUAUCGGAGAUGGCGACUCAAAGACUUUUAAAAGUAUUCUUAAUAUGGAUCCUUACAAAAGUAACCCUGUUGUUAUUAAAAAAGAAUGUGUUGAUGAUUCUUUAUUAGAACGUUGCUUGGGCAGCGAAACUCAAAAUAACAACGAGUCACCUAACUCUUUAAUAUAGACAUUUGCACCCAAACAUAUCCAUGCCGGGUCCCAGACAAUUGAGAUUGCUAAUUGUUUAGCAGUUUGCAUUUUCAAUGAAGGCUUUUAUCCUAUUUUACAAAUAAUGAGUCUAAUGGGAAUAAAAAUAGGUCUGGAAUCCCAUGGGUUUGCUGUUAGGCGCAACGCAGUAAGGAUUGAACGGUCUGAGGUUCGAGCUUCAGAUGCUUCAAAAGAGGAAAGAACUGCUCGUUAUACAGAGAGAAAUGCUGAAAACAGUCAAUAUGAAGUAGAGGAAGGCCAAAUGUAUGAAGCUGGGAUGGCUGAUUAAGAGAAUAUGGAUACAAAGGGAGAAAUCCUUUUCACGAGGACACGGCCUUUUUUUUCUCUACUUCAAGGACAUAUCUUUUUGAAAAUUUAUU
RNAcentral lists this unclassified non-coding RNA (1674 nucleotides) under Cotesia glomerata. RNAcentral's name for it is "uncharacterized LOC123268694, transcript variant X1". Lineage: Eukaryota; Metazoa; Arthropoda; Insecta; Hymenoptera; Braconidae. The record is from RNAcentral.